GAUGAAGAACGUAGCGAAAUGCGAUAAGUAAUGUGAAUUGCAGAAUUCAGUGAAUCAUCGAAUCUUUGAACGCACCUUGCGCUCCUUGGUAUUCCGAGGAGCAUGCCUGUCCGAGCGUCAUUUGCAACCCUCAAGCCCGGCUUGUGUGAUGGGUGCCGUCCCCUACGGGACGCGCCCCGAAGGCAAUGGCGGCGUCGCGGUUAUCCGAUCAGCCAAAGUGUAUGGGGCUUUGUCACUCACUUUACGGCCCGGACCGGCGCCAGUCCGAAUCAAUCUUUUUUUCUAAAGUUGACCUCGGAUCAGGUAGGGAUACCCGCUGAACUAAAGCAUAUCAAUAAGCGGAGGA
Molecule: unclassified non-coding RNA, 346 nt
Filed under: soil metagenome
Description: partial contains 5.8S ribosomal RNA, internal transcribed spacer 2, and large subunit ribosomal RNA
Rfam family: 5.8S ribosomal RNA (bases 1-120)
Source: RNAcentral